Molecule: transfer RNA, 74 nt
Filed under: Aedes aegypti (yellow fever mosquito)
Lineage: Eukaryota; Metazoa; Arthropoda; Insecta; Diptera; Culicidae
Rfam family: tRNA
About the family: Transfer RNA (tRNA) molecules are approximately 80 nucleotides in length. Their secondary structure includes four short double-helical elements and three loops (D, anti-codon, and T loops).
Source: Rfam by way of RNAcentral
UCUCUUGUGGCGUAAGGGGUAAAGCGCCCUAACUAGAGAUCAGGAAGUCGUGAGUUCGAUUCUCAUCGAGAAGA